Molecule: long non-coding RNA, 421 nt
Filed under: Olea europaea subsp. europaea
Lineage: Eukaryota; Viridiplantae; Streptophyta; Magnoliopsida; Lamiales; Oleaceae
Source: RNAcentral
CCCAAAUCAAGACAUUUUAAUAUUUGCGUGGGGAGUGAUUCGAACCCCUGACGUCCCACACAAAUGUCACAUUUCCCACCACUUUGGCACUUUAUCUAAUUUGAUUAUUUCUUUCAUAUUUUAUAUUUAUACCAUAAAUAUAUAACAAGUAUGUGUGUAAGAGAGAGAGACAGCAAGUGAGUAAGCUGGUGUUUGGUGGGUCUCGAUUAUCUGGAAUACUGUAACUCUUUUUUUUCUCCCUUGGAUAGAAGCAAUCGAUGAGACUAAAACUUGCUAAAGCCAUCUUAAGCAGCGAAGUCAAGAGAGAGUGAGGAGUUCGUGAUAUAUUCGAGGGUGACGCUUAUGGCAUCAGCCAACGAGCCGUCAUCAUUGGUAAUGGAUUUUCGACUUCCGAAAUCCUAAGCAUUGACUUCGUAUAUGU